RNAcentral lists this non-coding RNA (24 nucleotides) under Arabidopsis thaliana (thale cress). Lineage: Eukaryota; Viridiplantae; Streptophyta; Magnoliopsida; Brassicales; Brassicaceae. The record is from RNAcentral.
AUCCGCUUUGUACACUGCAACCAC